Molecule: long non-coding RNA, 4788 nt
Organism: Talpa occidentalis (Iberian mole)
Lineage: Eukaryota; Metazoa; Chordata; Mammalia; Eulipotyphla; Talpidae
Exons: 3
Source: RefSeq, a predicted model, not a curated record
CAAGCAAACCACUUGCCACAGGAAAGAGGACGGAAGAGCUAGGCUGUGGAGACAAGCAAUAAAGUGCCCUCCCGGUGACCUUACAGGCUCACAGCAGCCGGCUUGUAACUGCUCUGGGCCCAACAGAGAACACAAGCGUGGCAGUGGGGAUUGAGGAGAGCCCCUCCUUCCUGACACUUUCUCCUGAGCACUGCUGUGAGGAGAAGCUACACGGCUGCGGGGAAUCGGCCUUCAGAGGCAAGAGUUCCCCACAGUAGAUUUUGUUUUCUGGAAGUAAAUUAAUUGAACAACUGUGAACAAAGGUGGGGAAGUGAACAGAGAGAGCCUGGCAGGCUGAAGGAAGCAUCCAGAGCAGGCGUGGGUAAAGGUGGAUGAAACUUUCCAAUGAUUGUGACCAAUGGUAAAAAUAAAAUUAAUAGUAAUCCAAGACUUUAGCUGCAUCCAUGUGGAUCUCUGCGGACAUCAGCCAGCUGUUGAGGGGCUAUUAGAACCCAGGGAACCUGGAAUGAAGAUGAAGAAUUUCUCUCUGGAACUCACCCCCACUGGGCCCUGCAUGGCUGUGAACUCUCGCAUGAUACCACCACCUGGCAAUGCCCUCUGCCCCCCAGAAGUGCUGUCACAGCACUUGGACACAUCCUCAAUCCCUGCAUGCCUCGUCUGGAAAGGCUGAAGGAGAGGGCCUCUUGACACCCUCUCUAAGGGGCAGCCACGCCCUCCCUCCCUGAUAGGCCCAGGACGAUGGCAUCUGUGCUCAGAGCCAGGAUGAAAGUGAGUUUCAAAUCAAGAGCACUGCCACUAAUGGGAUCUGUUUUGUCCAUCUGUACCUGCCAUUUUGGUCUCUGUCCAAGGGCCUGGGGUAUAUAUCAGCUUCAGGGGCAGGAGCUCAGCUUGCCCUGAUUCUAAUGUGCCAUCAUGAUGAAGUGGCACAUGGACGCGCAUGCCCAGUUUGUGGGUACAUCAGGGGCAUGAGCACCUUCCAGUAUGGACAGCGAGGACGAGAACACUCAGAGGGCGCUUGCAGGGAGGACAGUUGGGGCACCUUGGCCUUGAAGAGAGGAAUUUUUUCCAUAUCUCUCCAUGAGAAAAGCUGGUCUGGAGAUAGGAAUGCUGGGAUAUGUCUGGGGGGGUUGCCUGCCCAUGAUCUUGCUGAUCCUGGAGAACGCAGCAUACCUUUAUGGGUCUUAGGUUUCCUUCUCUUAAAAAUGAGGGUUUGGUGGUAGUUGGAGUUUCUGGGGGUAGAUGGGUCUGUGAAGCUCCUGAGCCAUAUGGAACAUGCUGGGUAAGUGAUUUUAAUGUGUACACUUUCCCGGGACCAAAGUCUAUAAUUUUCAUCAAACCUCAGUAGCAGUUGGAGCAGGUAUUUCUCUGUUUCCCUUGACACCUGAAAACCCUCUUAGAGGCUGCAGUUCGGGCACAGGUCUCUUCCUGACACUAGUUAGGUCCCUCUGCUGGCUUUUCUCCCAACUCUCCCAGGCCACUACUUACUUUGAUUUUUGUUUCUUUUAUUUAAUUUUCCUUUCGCUGUCUGGACCAAGACUUGUUUAAUUUUCCAAUGAAUAGUGUCCAGUCUCCAUCUUCAGACAUGGUAAGACAAAGGUUUUCAUGCCACUUGAAACUCAAAACAGCCUGGUUACCGCAGUUGAAAUAUCAGAUCCAUGCAUUUUCAGUAACUUCUCAGGCUCAUGGAAGUAGAUGCUGGGAAAUUGGUGCUGGGUCCCCAGAUUCUGGAUUUCUCUUUUGUUCUCAUAUCUUUUGUUUUCCUCCUUCUAUGAGUUUCUGGUUUCUCUAGGUACAUACAAUAUCAGAUUUGGAAGCUGAUAUGAGAGAGGAAACAUUCAGACCUGCCUCCUCCUCUUGUCCAAACCUGUGGAUUCACUCUGGCUUUCUCCAGACAUUGUUAUUAGCAAUCCAUUUUGUUUAGAGACAGUUUUUAAUUUCUCAGAGCUCUCACUUAAUAGCUUGACAGCUCUGUCAGGAAGUUAUCAGGUGGGAUAACACACACGAAAGCACCGUGUCCUGAGACAGGUGAGGCGGGUAGUGAGAGCGCCAUUUUACAAGUGAUGAUGUGAAAGCACCGAGAAAUUAGGUAUAAGUUGGUGGAACACGCUAAGGCCAAGUCCAGGGGUUUUGGAAACAUGCAGACUGGGGACUGAGAACUGCUGUCCUUUGUUGACUGGCUGUGUGGUGUUAUAGUCUGGUGCUCAAAUCCUCUGCACCCUGCUUCCACACACAUAAAUGAGAACGUGACAUAAUGCUUAUGUCCCAGGGAAGCCAUGAGUAAUAGGGAAUUGUGAGCAUAGAGGCAAGGCGGUGCAGUGCCUGGCACACUGGCACAGAGUACUUGGCAGCCUUCAUCAUUUGGGGAAAGUGACCAUGGGGAUGGGCAUGCAUUCUCCUCCAUGGUGGAAUAUUUUUUUAUUUGCCUCUUGAAAGAAAGUUACUAGAAGAUCCUAGCAUGGCAACAACAAAAAGUCAGAGAUGGGAGGAAAAGGAAAACUCCUCCAGGGUACUUUCAAUUCAAUUUAUAGAUGAAGAUUUUAUAGCCCAGAAUUUUAUAUUUCUCCAAGACACACAGCCAUUUAGAGGCAGCAGGGGGGUCAAAAAUCACCCUCUCCCUGAGGGGUUUUGGGAUGCAGGGUUUUCAGGGCUAUACUGGAGGUUGUAGUGGACAAACUGGAACGAGCUGGUCAGUCUCAGCAGUGACGAGACAGAUCUUGACCUCCUGUCUUGUAGCCAGGUCGGUGGCGUUUUCACUUCAAAACAAAUGCUUAUUCAAGUGACUCUUUUCCAGGUGUUGGGGUUCAUAAAGGGCCUCCCAGUGACAGGUCUCCUCCAGUGCUGUUCUGGGCUGCAGAGACAGCCACAGGCCUUCAGCACACCCUCUGCUCCCACCCAGAGCUCACCCUUGUCAACAUCCAGAUUUUUUCAGAGCUCACAGUCAUGGGAGGCUUGGGCAGUGCCAGGAAUGGCGUGAGGCCCAGGGCACAAGCACUAGGUGCACAUGCAUCUGACAGCCACGGUGCCUCUAGGUUGUGACCUCGGGGACCUGCACCCAGGCCACACGAAGGUGACAUAGGAUAGGAAAUGUUGGCAGCAGCCUGGGCUGACUGGAAUGGAUGGGGCAGGUGGCAUUGGGGCUAAGCCAAGCUGGGAGAUGGGUGAGAGUGAGGAGUUGAGGUUGGUGUAAUAAAGUCCUCUCUGUCAAUGACAUGUCACACUUUCUACCUGGAUACAUAUGACUGACAAGGAACUUGUCGGCAGAAUGUACAAAGACUUGGUAUAAAUCAAUGAGAACAAAGGCAGUCCAUUAGGGGAAAAAAAAAAAAAAAGAACGCUUAACAAAAGCUAUCCAAAUACCUAGUAAUAAGCAAAGGUGCAAAUGUUUAAUGAGAGAAAUAAAAACUAAAGCAACAUACACGCACCCAAAAUGGUCAAAUGAACCCUGUGCUGGUGAGACCAGAGUACCCAGAAUGUCCAAGCUUGGCUGGUGGAGGAGGAAGAGGAAGCUGUGCUGGACAAUUGCUGGGCAGCAGCUCCGGAAACCAACCAUGCACACCCCAUGCACUGGGAUACAGUCCCCAGGCCUGGACCCGAAUAGAAACGAACAUUACGUGCACCAAGACAUAAAGAAAGCUCAUCGUGGGUUAUUGAUAAGAACCCUUAUCUGGAAAUAGCUCAAAUGUCUACCAACAGUGUGGUAAGUGUGUGAACGGUAAUAAUUACACAGUGGGGUGCUCGGUAAAAACAGGAGUGGAUAACUGAUCAUUGCCAUGUCUAACAACAUGGGCUAGACACGGGAAAGCACACAUUUGGCAUGUGAUUCAAUUUGUAUAAAAUACAAAUGAGGCAGAGCUAACCCAUGGUCUUAGCUGUCAGGACAAUGGUCCCUUUUGGAGCAUUAGUGACUGAGAGGGAGCUUGAGCAAGGCUCCUUGACCUGCGUGGUGGAUGCACACAAGGAUUUGCCUUUUGAAAAUUUUUGGAGAUGAGCUAGUAUUAUUAAAGUGCUUUUUGGUGUGUGUGUGUGUGUGUGUGUGUGUGUGUGUGUAUUCAAAACAUUUAUUUUAAACAAAGGAUGCAAUGCAUCAUCAAGUGUCUUUCCUCCACUUCCAUUUGGAGUAAAGCAUCUGGUUCUUGGGCUCCCUAGGAGGUUAACCUUCCACCCAGAGGUAUUGAGAAGAAAGGUCCCGCUCCUUUCCUGGGGGGACUGCCCCAGGGGCUGCAUGAUCCAGGAGCCACUGCUUUCCUCUCUGGGAUGGAGGCUUCAUGUACACUGGGCCAAAUGGCCCCUUCCAGCCCUGGUGUUUCAGGGCUUCCUCUCUAGAGAAACAGACACAUUAUCUGCUCAUUUCAUUCCGGACCCCAAAGAGUACCAAGCCAUCUGUUCUAGAACUUUAACAAAUUGACUCACGCCAAUCUCCUCUCUUCCUCCAGCCAUUCCACUUCAUUUUCAGGCCACUUAGUCCAUUUUUUCCCCCUUUUGUCCUUGGUUUUCAAGACAGCCCAUUUGGGCUGAGCCCUAUUUGGUGACAAGUUGUCAGAACAGCUCAGGCCCUAGUUCUGUUGUGUGAUUUAAGUAAAAAAAAAUUUGACUGGGGAAAUUAGAUGGAGGUGAUUGCAGCUAAAGUGCCUCUUAUUGAAGCUUUUGGAAAACGUAAAUGUCAUCAGUCUUGUCAAAGCUAGACCCGGGAGAAAAUAACAGGACUAAAGGCGGACCAGGAUACACGCUGGGACUGCACAAACUUAGAAUUAGCCUUCCUAUUUGUUAUUAUUUUUUUCCUUGUAAGUA